Cucumis melo (muskmelon) is the source of this 1249-nucleotide long non-coding RNA. RefSeq lists it as uncharacterized. The transcript has 4 exons. Lineage: Eukaryota; Viridiplantae; Streptophyta; Magnoliopsida; Cucurbitales; Cucurbitaceae. The record is from RefSeq and is a predicted model, not a curated record.
CGACUAUCUCUUUCGUUUUAAGCAAGUUGACAAUGAUUUGGACCAGUUUUAGGAGCAUUUAAAGUAUCUUUUGAUGUUUUUGAAGAAACAACAUUGUUUGAUGCAUCCAUAUCACAUGCCCUAAUGCCGAGAAAAUAUGUAGGAGCAUGUAUUUCGAUCAAUACUCAACCACAUAUACCUUAAGAGGCUGUUUGGGGGGCAAUUUAACACUGUGGGGUUAGGUUUACUUAACCCUAACCCCUGUUUGGUACUAGGAUUAUGGAAACCCUAGUUUUAGGGUUUCCAUAACACCCGUAUUAUCCUCAAACCCCCCAUUCUCAUCUGCCCCCUAAACCCGAUUUCUCUUCUUCGUUUUUUCCCUUCAACCCGUGUUAACCCCUCCUUAAAUCCGUGUUGUAACUCCCUUCCAUCCAUCUUCUUCCUCCCAAUUUUUGUUCUUUCUUCUUCUCCCCCUACUCCUCCAUUGCCGGUUUCGUUUUUUAGCUCAAAAAUCCAUCCCCCUUCGAUCGAAAACCCCUUUGCUUCAUGACUCUGAAUCCAUCUCUACAUCUCUCUAAGCCUCUCUCAAUCUACAAAAGUUUUUGUUGAAGAGAAGAUGGACGACAUGCAUAGGCGCCAAGUCUAUUGAGCCAAGCAAGGAAGAAAACGAUGACUCCGAAGAUGAUGAUUCCUCCGAUGAGGGUUCCGAUUCCGAUGAGUCUAAUGAGCUGAGGCUAAUUGGGGUUCCAUCGUGAAGAGCUCUAUGAUUUUGAAUAUAUAUGCUUCUGAGUAGCCUGGCUGGGAUUCAAGAGGGAAAGGAUGCGAUUGUGGAAGAGGGUGGAAUUGUUGCGCUUGUAGAAUUGGACUGAGAUUGUUUUUUUUUAAGGAGGUAAUUGUAUUAUUAAGAAGUGGUAUCGUGUAUAGGGAGUGGUUUUUUUUUAUGGUUUGUACAGCGUGGUUGAGAAUGUUGAAAGAAUGAAGAUUGUAGAAUGAAGUUAGUGCAGUUAGUAAAGCCAAAAGGUCGACGGUUAGAGAAGAAGUUGUAUGAUUUUUAACUAGGUUCUGGGAUAUCCUUUUUAAUGACAUUCCAAUUUACUAAAUAGUGUAAUAUCACUUGGUUUGAUUUUCUGGGUUUGAUUUGAUGAAAUUCUGAUUGGUAGUUGUGUGUCUUGUAUGGGUGAAGAACCCAAAUUCUGUGGAACUCAUCGUCUUUCUUGUAGCUUUAUGUGAAGUACAUUGAAGUUCUGAAAUUUACGUAAUUUAAUUUUCA